This 440-nucleotide ribosomal RNA is filed under the name uncultured bacterium. RNAcentral's name for it is "partial 16S ribosomal RNA". It matches the Rfam family "Bacterial small subunit ribosomal RNA", at positions 338 to 795 of the family's 1533-position model. The record is from RNAcentral.
CCUACGGGAGGCAGCAGUGGGGGAUAUUGCACAAUGGGGGAAACCCUGAUGCAGCGACGCCGCGUGUGGGAAGACGGUCCUCUGGAUUGUAAACCACUGUCCCCAGGGACGAAGAUGACGGUACCUGGGGAGGAAGCUCCGGCUAACUACGUGCCAGCAGCCGCGGUAAUACGGAGGAUGCGAGCGUUAUCCGGAUUUAUUGGGUUUAAAGGGUGCGUAGGCGGAUCGUUAAGUCAGUGGUCAAAUUGAGGGGCUCAACCCCUUCCCGCCAUUGAAACUGGCGCUCUUGAGUGGAAGAGAAGUAUGCGGAAUGCGUGGUGUAGCGGUGAAAUGCAUAGAUAUCACGCAGAACCCCGAUUGCGAAGGCAGCAUGCCGGCUUCCGACUGACGCUGAAGCACGAAAGCGUGGGGAUCGAACAGGAUUAGAUACCCCUGUAGUC